AUUGAACGCUGGCGGCAGGCCUAACACAUGCAAGUCGAACGGUAACAGGAAGAAGCUUGCUUCUUUGCUGACGAGUGGCGGGCGGGUGAGUAAUGUCUGGGAAACUGCCUGAUGGAGGGGGAUAACUACUGGAAACGGUAGCUAAUACCGCAUAACGCCGCAAGACCAAAGAGGGGGACCUUCGGGCCUCUUGCCAUCGGAUGUGCCCAGAUGGGAUUAGCUAGUAGGUGGGGUAACGGCUCACCUAGGGGACGAUCCCUAGCUGGUCUGAGAGGAUGACCAGCCACACUGGAACUGAGACACGGUCCAGACUCCUACGGGAGGCAGCAGUGGGGAAUAUUGCACAAUGGGCGCAAGCCUGAUGCAGCCAGGCCGCGUGUAUGAAGAAGGCCUUCGGGUUGUAAAGUACUUUCAGCGGGGAGGAAGGGAGUAAAGUUAAUACCUUUGCUCAUUGACGUUACCCGCAGAAGAAGCACCGGCUAACUCCGUG
This 490-nucleotide ribosomal RNA is filed under the name uncultured bacterium. RNAcentral's name for it is "partial 16S ribosomal RNA". It matches the Rfam family "Bacterial small subunit ribosomal RNA", at positions 30 to 507 of the family's 1533-position model. The record is from RNAcentral.